GCUGCCCUGACUGAUUGGGGAGCUAAAUCUCUUGCAGCGGGCAUAUUUGGGAAUCCAUUGUUGCUGCACAUGUAAACCAUGGCCUUCAAAUCCAGCUGACCCUGUAGCAGAAACACAGAACUUGGUUACCAGUGAUUUUUAUCUGCAUUGGAUCUACUUUAUUAAACCCCACAGCCUGAAUAGCAGCUACUAGGGUAGUGCCAGUGGAUGUAUAUGGAGACUGGGCUGGAAUGGCUGAGUGUGUGGGUGCACAGCUGGGAGCAGCCAUGGCAGUAAGUAGACAGCCAGUAACUUCUGAUAAAAGGGAGUAUCUGAAAACUGAAAGGCCCCAUAGGAAUGCCAACAACAUUUCAGAAGUUUUCAACCCAAAUUAAAGAUGAAAAAAGUG
This 388-nucleotide long non-coding RNA is filed under the name Pan troglodytes (chimpanzee). Its description in RNAcentral is "long non-coding RNA NONPTRT005592". Lineage: Eukaryota; Metazoa; Chordata; Mammalia; Primates; Hominidae. The record is from RNAcentral.